Molecule: long non-coding RNA, 1616 nt
Organism: Mastomys coucha (southern multimammate mouse)
Lineage: Eukaryota; Metazoa; Chordata; Mammalia; Rodentia; Muridae
Exons: 3
Source: RefSeq, a predicted model, not a curated record
CACAAUGGUUGUGGCAACACCAGCUGUCCUUAGGGCUUCUGUUCAGUGACUAUAAGGUUCAUCCAUAGGUCUGAGAAACUGCAGCAUGAGUUGAAGCUGGCCAUAGCCCAGGAAAGCCUCCAGCAUAAGGAAGGAGCUGCUGCAUCAGGAGCCACCUGCUGAGCCUCAACACCAGGAGCCACCUGCUGAGCCUCAGUCCCAGGAGCCACCUGCUGAGCCUCAGUCCCAGGAGCCACCUGCUGAGCCUCAGCAUCAGGAGCCACCUGCUGAGUCUCAGCACCAGGAGCCACCUGCUGAGCCUCAGCACCAGGAGCCACCUGCUGAGCCUCAGUCCCAGGAGCCACCUGCUGAGCCUCAGCAUCAGGAGCCACCUGCUGAGCCUCAGCAUCAGGAGGCACCUGCUGAGCCUUGUUCCCAGCAACCACAGAAUUCCUUGAAUGGAUUUUCUACCUCAAAUUUGGUUUCCCCAGUGUGAGUAUGCCCUUACUUCAUCUAGCCAGUGAGCCAACCAGGCUGUUUCUGGGUCUGAUUUUCUUUCCUUCCCUGGAGAGAACUGAGGAGACCAAUGGAAACCAAAGUUGACUUGAAAGGAUGACAUUCUCUACUUCAGGAUCAAGGCCUUCUCUGAAAAAGACACUCCCUUUGAACUAUAAACUCAAAAAUUCCAACUGAACUCCAGGUGAUGCAACCCAAUCUGAUCUAUGAGUCUGUUUGCCUUCUUCUUCCAGAAGAAAAGAAAGCAUAAAAAAUAAGCUGGAGGCACAGAAAACCCAACAACAACAAACAAACAAACAAACAAAAAUGGAGACAAGAAUUACUCAGAACGGAGCUAUACACCAGCAAGUGGUCCUGGAGGGGGAACCACAACAACAUGGAGGGAGGAUGGUUGGUGAGCAAGAGUUACUCUGUCACUUUACUGUACAGGGCUUUGGCAGCCGGCUGAGUCCUCAGCUCCCUGUAAGUGGUGGGAAAUCGAUCAUGGAAGACUUUACUGAUAUCAUGUUGCUAUCCAGACAGACCACACCCAAAGACACAGGUUUCUCUCACCAGGGCAGUGCUGCAGCAGACUGACAUGCAGAAACAUUGCUGAAGAUAACAUGCUACAGACAUGAUCACAGUCUUCUUUCCUCCUUCUAGUCAUUUGGUCCAAUGAGGAAUCUCAGCUUCACACUUGGAGUCAUGUGACCUGUCCUGAGAAAGGACUUGUAGAGAAUAUGUCAGUGUCGCCAUUGUCCUGUCUGGAUAACAGAUGCUCCCAGGCAUAUGCUAAUUGAAAGAACUAAGACGUGGACUACAUUUAAUAGAAACUGCCUGCUUGUACCACAUCGUCUUCUUGGGCCAGAUAGAACAAGGCAGUAUAUAUUACACCAGCAGAGGGCGGUAAUUGUUCAAGAAACAUCGCUUAGUGUCUCAAAGGCGCUCUAUGAAUUUACAAAGCAGUGAGAAGCCCCUGGUGGAUAGGGACUAUCAGUCUUUGGCUGUGAGACUUCAGAUAAAGUCCUGAUGCUCAAGAGUUGUCUUGGGUGUGGCUGGAUUAUGCAAACAUCAGCUGAAAGGUCUGGCAUACAGGGGUGUCUCUGGAGGGGAGAGGCAGAAUGUGGACCUGACCUCCACAC